Dermacentor andersoni is the source of this 369-nucleotide long non-coding RNA. RefSeq lists it as uncharacterized. The record is from RefSeq and is a predicted model, not a curated record. Lineage: Eukaryota; Metazoa; Arthropoda; Arachnida; Ixodida; Ixodidae.
GUAAUAGAAGAACAUCUUCCAGUAACGACAGUUCCAUCUUCCAAGAGAGAGGCGCUUUAGACAAUUCUCCAGCCUGGCGAUGUUGCUGUUUACUCUCCUUGCAUACUGUAUCGUUUGCUUCACACCAAGCGAUGUGUCAACAUCUCGACAAUGUUCAUCGAUGCCCGGUGAAGGUGAAUGCGAUAGUCCGGUCGACAAGUGGUUUUAUAAUAAAAAAGAAAAAAAAUGCGAAAAUUUUAAGUACGGAGACUGUCCGAGGAAUGAAAACAUGUUUGACGACGAAACAACAUGCAAAACGACAUGCUCGACAUCUGGAGAAACCGCUUGGCUUUAAGGCAUUGUGAUAUACAUCUGAGAACAGUAAACUCC